RNAcentral lists this unclassified non-coding RNA (421 nucleotides) under soil metagenome. RNAcentral's name for it is "partial contains 5.8S ribosomal RNA, internal transcribed spacer 2, and large subunit ribosomal RNA". The stretch from base 1 to 120 matches the Rfam family "5.8S ribosomal RNA", at positions 35 to 154 of the family's 154-position model. The record is from RNAcentral.
GAUGAAGAACGUAGUGAAAUGCGAUAAGUAAUGUGAAUUGCAGAUUUCAGUGAAUCAUCGAAUCUUUGAACACACCUUGCGCCUUGUGGUAUUCCACAAGGCAUGCCCGUUUGAGUAUCAUUAAAUCAUCAACUCUAAAACCUUUGUGGUUUUUUUAGAGCUUGGUCUUGAGGGUUUUGCAGGCUUUUUUUUUUCGAGUCUGCUCCCUUUAAAUGCAUUAGCGAGACUUCCCUAUGCUGAACCGUCUCUUUGACGUGAUAAUUAUCUGCGUCGAAUUUUGGUUCUCGUUGGGCUUGCUUCUAAUCGUCUGUUAAAGACAAAACGGAUUUGGGUGCAUAUAUGCGCCUUUUUCCAAAACCUUUUUUGAUCUCAAAUCGGGUAGGACUACCCGCUGAACUUAAGCAUAUCAAUAAGCGGAGGA